CGGGUACGGGCCUUGAGAGAGGAAGCCCGGAGAUGGAUUCUGAGACAUGAAUCCAGGUCCUACGGGACGCAGCAGGCGCGAAAACUUCCCAAUGCGCGCAAGCGUGAGGAGGGGAUUCGGAGUGCUUUCCCAUACUUGGGGAAGCUUUUCUCCAGUUCAAAACGCUGGAGGAAUAAGUGGUGGGCAAUACGGGUGCCAGCCGCCGCGGUAAUACCCGAGCCACGAGUGGUGACCACGAUUAUUGGGCUUAAAGCGUUCGUAGUCGGUUCGUUAAGUUCCUAGUGAAAUCCUGCAGCAGACUGUAGGGCUUGCUGGGAAUACUGGCAGACUUGGGACCGGGAGAAGUCGAGCGUAUUCCUGGGGUAGCGGUAAAAUGCUUUAAUCCUAGGAGGACGACCUGUGGCGAAGGCUCUCGACUAGAACGGAUCCGACGAUGAGGGACGAAAGCUGGGGGAUCAAAGCGGAUUAGAUACCCGCGUAGUCCCAGCUGUAAACGAUACCCACCAGACUUUGGCAACCUCACGGGGGUUACCAGGGUCAAAGGGAAACCGUUAAGUGGGUCGCCUGGGGAGUACGGUCGCAAGGCUGAAACUUAAUGGAAUUGGCGGGGGAGCACACAAGGGGUGAAGGCUGCGGUU
This 638-nucleotide ribosomal RNA is filed under the name uncultured archaeon. RNAcentral describes it as "bacterial SSU rRNA". It matches the Rfam family "Archaeal small subunit ribosomal RNA", at positions 264 to 902 of the family's 1478-position model. The record is from RNAcentral.